Sorghum bicolor (sorghum) is the source of this 1573-nucleotide long non-coding RNA. RefSeq lists it as uncharacterized. The transcript has 3 exons. Lineage: Eukaryota; Viridiplantae; Streptophyta; Magnoliopsida; Poales; Poaceae. The record is from RefSeq and is a predicted model, not a curated record.
GGACAUACGCGCCUAUCUUUCUUAACGUUGCAGAGGAUGCAUACAAUAAGAGAAUCGAGAUAGACAUUGUUGUCUCGUUUCUUGAUGCUCUAAGAGGCUUGGGGGCAAUCUGUCAUAUAUUGGUUCAAGAUACAGUGGCUAUGCUGAAAGAUGCUCCUAUGGAGAACAGUAUCAAUAGACGUACCGGUACACAUUCCUCUAAGUUUGAGAAGAGACUGAACAACUUGAAAGAAGAAUUCAUGGCGUCUGCAGAAGCUACAGGAAUCAAACACACGUUGGUGAUGGGUAUGCUCUUUGAUGGAAUGAAACGUGCACAAUUGUAUAUACUCAAGCUGAUCCAGGAGCGCAGGGAAGCUCUAGGCUGUCUUUUCUUAGCACAAGCAGCAUCCGCAUUUAGAGAAGCGCGAAUGAAGAAUUGUUGAAGAUCAUCUGCGCGGUCAUGACUCGUGUACGCUUGUCUCCUUUUGAUCUUGAUAUUAAAAAGAGAUCGUUUGCUUGCUUAGCGUACCGCCAGUUCCAUUCUUCAACUUCGAUUGGUCGUUUCUUUGGUAUUAAAAGAAGUCUCUUUGUACUCUCAUCUGCGCGAGUGUGUGGCAUCUUCAUUUUUUUUAAUCGUCCGCGUGUGUGCUUAUUUGUCUGAACUGCACGUUGAAUUUGCUUGUGUCGUCGUCAUACAAUGAGGUAGGUUGAUAGCUAGCACCGAAAUGGCAAUGGCAAGCAAAACUAACAGAAUCGGGGACAGGUGUCAAACAUUUGCUAAACGGAAAUAAAACACAAGCUUUGCAACUUUAUUAUUAUUAGAUCAUGAUUCAUGAAACGAAAACAGAGAAGAGGCGUCCGGUUCUCAUUAAAAAAAAAGUUACAAGCCUCCACAGAACUGGGGAGUAAACACAGUUGAAAUCAAAGCAAAGUGAAACGCAACCGUAGAUAUGCAACUGAAAUUACUUUGAAUGAACCUAAACAAGAUACACAGUUUGGCACAGGCACGGUUUGCUACCAGAAGCAGCACUCGAGCAUCACUAUAUAUUGUGUAUAAAGGAUAUUACCAUAACGGGACUCCUAACUUAAGGAAGAUCGACAUCACUAUAGUAGUAUCUCUAACCAAUUUGAACUUGAGGAUAAGUUUUUUUUCAAUAGGGGCAGAAUGAUAAGGCUAUGUGAAGCAUGCAACAUUACUCCUAUAUUUUGUGGCUUGCUGGUACUAAUAUUCAUGAUUUUAGCAUUCAUAUGUUAUAUGAUUGGAAAGAUAUAUGCGUUUAGUUUCCAACGCAACCUUAGGAGCUAGGAGUUAUGACCAUUUUAGUGGAAGCUACACAUGCAGUUUUAUGGCUGCGACUGCGUCUGCGAGAGAAACAGAGGACUCUUCAAUUUCUCCACCAAGACGAUCUUCCAUUUUUAUUUUUUAUGCUUAUUAUGUUCACAACCAAUUAGAAGGGAUGUUCCUAGUAUAAAUAAUUUAUCUAAUCUAUUAUUUGAAGGAGAGUUGAUAUUGGUACGAUAUGAGAAUUGAGUUGAUCUUAUUGAGUCGAUCCUAUCUAUUAUUUGAAGGAGAAUUGAGUUGAUCUUAUUGAUA